Molecule: non-coding RNA, 455 nt
Organism: Rattus norvegicus (Norway rat)
Lineage: Eukaryota; Metazoa; Chordata; Mammalia; Rodentia; Muridae
Source: RefSeq, a predicted model, not a curated record
AAGUCAGUACAGAAGACUACAGAGAGGAAGAGGUGGGCUGAGCAGGAUUUACUAUUGGAGAGUGAGGUCCUUGAAAACCAGCAUAGGAGAAUAAAGGCGUCGUUACCCUUGAGCAUUCGGUCAUGAAACUGCUGGAGAGGAAAUUAAUUAACCCCUGCCAAGGCUUCCCAGCUGCGGGGCAGGAAUUAAGCUGUCAUCCCUCUUGGAUGCUUGGAUCAGACCUGCUUUGGCUGGCUCAGCCUCUGAAUGAACAACCGGCUCUUCUCCCCUUCGGCUGCCCUUAGACUGAGAACACUGCUCCAAGCAGUGCUACAAAGGACGGACGGAACCUAGAGACAAAUGGACCUUUUCCCAAAGUUACAAGGGAACUUAAAAGCUCUGAACUUCCAAACUGAAUAUAAAAUUUCACAAGAUAUAUUUACAUUAAAAAUAAAAGGGUAAAGUCUUUAAAGGAA